GAUUUCUGGGUGGAUGUGUUUAGCCCGCCAUGGUUUCAUGUGUGAGUGCUGAUACUCAUCUCCCAUCCUUCUAGUCACGUCUGGGCUCUUCAUUGAGUGGCAGGCGCAGCUAGAUCUUUUACUUUGAAAAAAUUAGAGUGUUUCAAGCAGGCGUAUGCUUUGAAUACAUUAGCAUGGAAUAAUAAUUUAGGACUUCGGUUCUAUUUUGUUGGUUUCUAGAGCUGAAGUAAUGAUUGAUAGGGAUAGUUGGGGGUGCUAGUAUUCAGUGGCCAGAGGUGAAAUUCUCGGAUUCCCUGAAGACUAACUUAUGCGAAAGCAUU
Molecule: ribosomal RNA, 320 nt
Filed under: uncultured Rhogostoma
Lineage: Eukaryota; Cercozoa; Thecofilosea; Cryomonadida
Description: bacterial SSU rRNA
Rfam family: Eukaryotic small subunit ribosomal RNA (bases 106-320)
Source: RNAcentral